Long non-coding RNA from Hemicordylus capensis (graceful crag lizard), 661 nucleotides. RefSeq lists it as uncharacterized. Lineage: Eukaryota; Metazoa; Chordata; Lepidosauria; Squamata; Cordylidae. The record is from RefSeq and is a predicted model, not a curated record. The transcript is spliced from 3 exons.
UUGGCUGCUGGCUCGGAUGAAGGCUUCCCGCACUUUAGGGGCGACCUGUUUGUUGGCCUGCCAUCUUGGCGGCUGCCACACAGCAGGAGCUGCUUCUCUUAAGGCGCUGGUCGGCGGCGUUCUUUCUUUCUUGGGUCUCCUAGCCGGGUCUCGCACGCACGCACGCACGCACGCACGCGCGACUUGGCCAGCAUGCCGAGUCGCACUGCGCAUGCGUGUGCGUCCGUCGGCGUCCUCCCAGCUCGGCUCGCCUUCUGUUCUGCAUGUGGCGUGCGGCGGAGGAGAGCGUUGCUGGGGGCUGGGGCUGCAGCCAGGCACAGGCAGGAGGUGGAAGACAGCACGGCACGGACGUCGGACAGGAGCUAAUCUCUCAGUUGUUGUGGGGCGGCUGCUGCUGCUGCUGCUGUUGGGGAAGGAGGGAGGGAGGCGAGAGGGGGGCCAGAUUUCCAAGUGAUCGCGUCAAUUCCCUGCCAAGUGCCUGCUUCUCCCUCCCGAGUCCCCUCCUCAGUAACGAGAAAAAGAAAGAUAUGAAGACAGGAAGAAAGUUUAGAAGAAGGAAAUGCAGAGAAAGCUUUUGCUGCCACCACUUUUAAUCCCCAAAGAACUGUGUGAGAAGAAAUUAUAACUGGACACAGGAUGGACUUUUAAAUAAAACUAAAAC